UCCCUGGUGGUCCAGUGGUUAAGACUCUGCGCUUUCACUGUAGGGAGCGCAAGUUCGAUCCCUACCCAGGGAA
This 73-nucleotide transfer RNA is filed under the name Bos taurus (domestic cattle). It matches the Rfam family "tRNA". Rfam says of the family: Transfer RNA (tRNA) molecules are approximately 80 nucleotides in length. Their secondary structure includes four short double-helical elements and three loops (D, anti-codon, and T loops). Further hydrogen bonds mediate the characteristic L-shaped molecular structure. tRNAs have two regions of fundamental functional importance: the anti-codon, which is responsible for specific mRNA codon recognition, and the 3' end, to which the tRNAs corresponding amino acid is attached (by aminoacyl-tRNA synthetases). tRNAs cope with the degeneracy of the genetic code in two manners: having more than one tRNA (with a specific anti-codon) for a particular amino acid; and 'wobble' base-pairing, i.e. permitting non-standard base-pairing at the 3rd anti-codon position. Lineage: Eukaryota; Metazoa; Chordata; Mammalia; Artiodactyla; Bovidae. The record is from Rfam by way of RNAcentral. RNAcentral also lists the same sequence under 1 other name.